This 1296-nucleotide unclassified non-coding RNA is filed under the name Zea mays. Its description in RNAcentral is "misc RNA Zm00001eb138560". The record is from RNAcentral. Lineage: Eukaryota; Viridiplantae; Streptophyta; Magnoliopsida; Poales; Poaceae.
AGCUGCUCUAAUGAUCUCAUCUCAUCUCACGAACGACCGCCGCCACCAGACCUGGAAGGCUCUCAUCAGGUCCGGGCACUCCCGGCCGUGGCUGCCGAAAGCCCCGAACCACUCCAAGAACAGCGCCUGCUGCUGCUCCAGCGUGAGCGUCAGCAGCGCCUGCCCGAUCCCUUCCUCCAGGGCCGUCACGUUCAGGCCCUUGGGGUACCUCCGGAGCCAACUGAAGUCCGCCAGCAUCGGCCUGAACCAGGCCUGGAAGACGCCGAACCGUCUGGCUCCGGCGCACUGGAGCCUGCCGCUCCCCAUGGCGAUGAAGACCGUGGCCGAGAUCCGGCUCAGCUCGUGGCGCACCAUCGGCGACGCCCGUCCGUGCACGCCGCUGAGGCUCGUUUGGUCGGCCCACAGCUCGACGAACUCCUCCCCCAUCUGCCUGUCGAUCAGAAUCUGCAGCAGCCAGUUGAUGUCCUCGACUAGCCUGUAGAUGCUCUCAGUCUCAGGUGGCGGUACUCCUCCUCUUCCAACUGAUGGCAAGGACGUCUGAUCCGGCCCCGGGGAUUCUCCUCCCAGCAAUCGCGCCAGAGAGUUCAGGCACGAAUGGCAGAUGCGCUCUUUCCGGGCGUUGUUGUUGGUCCCCUUCGUGAUGGAGUCGGCCAGUUCAACGACCAGUUCUGCUUCUGCCGACGAGGCAGGCCUCUCGGCGGGCUGCAGCCUCGCCGCCAGCAGGUUUCUCAAAGCUGCAUUGUACGAAGGAUGCUGAGACAUCAGCCUCUUGAUUGUCUCCUCUUCAGAUUCGCUCCACGGAACAGCGUCCAGGUACCUUACACAGCUCUUAACCCCUCUGUCAAACACGAGUGACAAUGAUACCUGAGAAAUUUGUUUACUCGUCAAGUCAAACAUGUUGAGAAUAGAGUUAGCAUAAAACCACUACACAUUUUCAGACAACUUGGUAAGUUAACAGGCAUACAAAGAGUAAAAUUUGAGCACAAAUCAACAAGAAGUAGCAGCGUAAAUAUAACAGCGGAGAGCUCACCUCGAGCACGUCGAUGGCUCGCGCGACACCACCACGAGCGAGCCGCCUCAUCUCAGCGGCCUCGUCUCCGUCUUCCAACAUCAUGUCCACCGCUUCCCUGAAGGCCUCCACCUCCACCAUCCCUUCCACCGUCAACUCGCCGCCUAGUUCCCCAACAACCUUCCUCACCACCUCGCUCUCCCCGCGCACCCUCUCCAACUCAUUCACCUCCAAGAUCACGCCUUUGUCGACCAGCCUCAGGUUCAGAAUUUCCCUCGGCUUCUCCA